This 489-nucleotide ribosomal RNA is filed under the name uncultured Bacillota bacterium. Its description in RNAcentral is "bacterial SSU rRNA". It matches the Rfam family "Bacterial small subunit ribosomal RNA", at positions 355 to 836 of the family's 1533-position model. The record is from RNAcentral. Lineage: Bacteria; Bacillati; Bacillota.
UAGGGAAUCUUCCGCAAUGGACGAAAGUCUGACGGAGCAACGCCGCGUGAGCGAAGAAGGCCUUCGGGUCGUAAAGCUCUGUUGUUAGGGAAGAACAUGUAUCGGAGUAACUGCCGGUACCUUGACGGUACCUAACCAGAAAGCCACGGCUAACUACGUGCCAGCAGCCGCGGUAAUACGUAGGUGGCAAGCGUUGUCCGGAAUUAUUGGGCGUAAAGCGCGCGCAGGCGGUCCUUUAAGUCUGAUGUGAAAGCCCACGGCUCAACCGUGGAGGGUCAUUGGAAACUGGGGGACUUGAGUGCAGAAGAGGAGAGUGGAAUUCCACGUGUAGCGGUGAAAUGCGUAGAGAUGUGGAGGAACACCAGUGGCGAAGGCGACUCUCUGGUCUGUAACUGACGCUGAGGCGCGAAAGCGUGGGGAGCAAACAGGAUUAGAUACCCUGGUAGUCCACGCCGUAAACGAUGAGUGCUAAGUGUUAGAGGGUUUCCG